Molecule: ribosomal RNA, 305 nt
Filed under: Zaprionus sepsoides
Lineage: Eukaryota; Metazoa; Arthropoda; Insecta; Diptera; Drosophilidae
Description: partial 12S ribosomal RNA
Source: RNAcentral
AAAAUUUAUUAUUAAUUUGAUUUAUAUGUAAAUUUUUGUGAGGAUUUUUAUUAAUUUUAAAAAUUAAUAAAUUUUAUUAUAUUCGCAGUAAUUAAUUUUGUUAAUUAAAGAAAUUUAGAAACAGUAAUAUUAAAUAGUAUAGAUAAAAUUGGUGCCAGCAAUCGCGGUUACACUAAUUAUACAAAUAAAUUAUUUCAGUAAAAGUUAAAUUGAUUAUAAAUUAAAUAAAAUUAAAUUUAUUAAGUGAAAUUUUAAAUUUAAAUAAAAUUUAUUUAUAAAAAUUGAAGCUUAAAAAUUUUAAUAAA